CNGUCGGGGUGNUUNAAUAGAGAAAGGGUGAGUAACACGUGGGCAAUCUGCCCUUCACUCUGGGACAAGCCCUGGAAACGGGGUCUAAUACCGGAUACGACACACGACCGCAUGGUCUGUGUGUGGAAAGCUCCGGCGGUGAAGGAUGAGCCCGCGGCCUAUCAGCUUGUUGGUGGGGUGAUGGCCUACCAAGGCGACGACGGGUAGCCGGCCUGAGAGGGCGACCGGCCACACUGGGACUGAGACACGGCCCAGACUCCUACGGGAGGCAGCAGUGGGGAAUAUUGCACAAUGGGCGAAAGCCUGAUGCAGCGACGCCGCGUGAGGGAUGACGGCCUUCGGGUUGUAAACCUCUUUCAGCAGGGAAGAAGCGAAAGUGACGGUACCUGCAGAAGAAGCGCCGGCUAACUACGUGCCAGCAGCCGCGGUAAUACGUACGGCGCAAGCGUUGUCCGGAAUUAUUGGGCGUAAAGAGCUCGUAGGCGGCUUGUCACGUCGGAUGUGAAAGCCCGGGGCUUAACCCCGGAUCUGCAUUCGAUACGGGCAGGCUAGAGUUCGGUAGGGGACAUCGGAAUUCCUGGUGUAGCGGUGAAAUGCCCAGAUAUCANGANNNACCNCNGGGGCGAAGGCGGAUCUCUGGGNCNNUACUGCCUGAGNANCNAAAGCCGGGGGAGGCGAACAG
Molecule: ribosomal RNA, 682 nt
Filed under: Streptomyces sp. LK2112.3
Lineage: Bacteria; Bacillati; Actinomycetota; Actinomycetes; Kitasatosporales; Streptomycetaceae
Description: partial 16S ribosomal RNA
Rfam family: Bacterial small subunit ribosomal RNA
Source: RNAcentral